Molecule: long non-coding RNA, 506 nt
Filed under: Pan troglodytes (chimpanzee)
Lineage: Eukaryota; Metazoa; Chordata; Mammalia; Primates; Hominidae
Description: long non-coding RNA NONPTRT000724
Source: RNAcentral
AAUAAUGAAGAUGAUGAAGAAGAGAGCUGGAGAGCAAGAGGGCUUCACAUUCCUUUUCAACUCCACAUUUGGCGGCCUGUACUCCAACAUGGCAGCUCCCCCUGCCACGCAGCGGUGUGGGCUCUGGAGUCUGGGUGUGCACAGACCUGUGCCUAAAUCCUGGUUCCAGGACCAUCCUGGCUAACACAGUGAAACCCAGUCUCUACUAAAAACACGAAAAAAAAUUAGCUGGCCAUGGUGGCGGGCGCCUGUAGUCCCAGCUACUCGGGAGGGUGAGGUGGCAGAAUGGUGUGAACCCGGAAGGAGGAGCUUGCAGUGAGCCGAGAUCGCGUCACUGCACUCCAGCCCGGGCGACAGAAUGAGACUCCAUCUCAAAAAAACAAAACAAAACAAAACAAACAAACAAACAAACAAAAACAGAGUUUUAAGGAUGUCAUGAGCCAUAAGAGGAAAAAUGGUUAAAUUAGACUUCAUCAAAGUUAAACAUUUGCUCUAUGAAAGACCCU